UCUACCAUUCACAAGUCACAUGAAAUAAAAUUGCCACUCAUCUAAAACAACCAAAAUCCUUACAUGCAAAUGCCAUCAAAAGGACUUUUCCAAGGCUUGUAAUGAGGCUGGGCUAGCAAGAAGAAUUGGUUUUUCUGGAAUGAAAAAUCCUUGAGUUAAGAGAGCUAUCAUAGUAUUCAACAUUUAAGCACAAAUCUCUUCCUCAUCAAUCUCACUUAAUCCCAACAUUUUCCUUUUUUUUUUCAUUGAACCCCAUCUUCAUGCUUUUCUUAUUUUCUUUUCUUUUUUUCAUGUAUUUUUCUUUCACAACUUUUGAGUUCAAUGCUUUUAAAUUUCCUUUAGAUUUCCCCCAUGCAACCCCAAACUUGAACCUUUUCAUCACAUACAAUUAAGCUCAUCCCAACUCAAGGUAAAGAAUGUCAAGACAAGGGUUCACAUCCUGUUUAAGG
This 449-nucleotide long non-coding RNA is filed under the name Vigna radiata. RNAcentral describes it as "long non-coding RNA (VRAD_LNC005385)". Lineage: Eukaryota; Viridiplantae; Streptophyta; Magnoliopsida; Fabales; Fabaceae. The record is from RNAcentral.